This is a long non-coding RNA of Bolinopsis microptera, 800 nucleotides long. RefSeq lists it as uncharacterized. The record is from RefSeq and is a predicted model, not a curated record. NCBI's taxonomy places the organism in Eukaryota, Metazoa, Ctenophora, Tentaculata, Lobata, Bolinopsidae. The transcript has 4 exons.
UAUGAUCUAUCUAUAAUAUUAUAAACAUACCAAUUAUUUUGGUUAAUUUGACCUGGGUACAUCGCGUGCACCUUCUGAAAUUCUUCCAUCUAUCCAUCGAUAGAAAUCAAACUUAUCUCUAUAAAUUUACCUUACGUUUGUUAUGUCGCUUUUCUCCACGAUUCUAAUGUAUUUACCAAUUGUAUGUUCGUGAUAUGAGUGAACAGUGAACGUUACUGCUUUAUUGUUGGUGUAUUAUGUGUAUAUUCAGUUGAAUACUACUACUUUUCUAACUGUAUCUGAGCAUAUGUUACAGACUCGUUAUUUAAACGUUUUACUUGUGUUUGAUUACUUUGUCUUUAAUUAGACAAUUAAUUAAUAAGAUAACUAAUUACCUUUUAAAACUUCGGUUUUAAUCAGUGUUCAAUUGUAAAGAUCUUUCUAAUUUCUAAUUUCAAAUAUACAUAAUACUGCAGAAUAGUCAAUAGUUUUAUUAUCUUAUUCUAACAGUGAAAUCAUCUAACAAUAUAUCAGAUGUCUAGAAGAUCAGAUGAUAUCAGAUACCAGACGGAUACCAGAUGUUCAACUAAAACAGCGUUUCUGCACGUGCAACGAAAUAUCUGGUGAAGUGAGUCUAGGGAAUACUGGAAGGGGUGUUUACGUAGUCCACUUUACAGACAAAAUGUUUGGCAACUCUGUGGAUAAGAAAAGUUUAUCAGAAGAACUGUUAGGAAGGUGCCAGGAUACAGAAUCUCAGAAGCACAGUAUUCACACCACGUGACACAAACUAACCAAUCAGAGCACAGUAUCCACACAAUUUU